GUGGGGAAUAUUGGACAAUGGGCGAAAGCCUGAUCCAGCCAUGCCGCGUGUGUGAAGAAGGUCUUCGGAUUGUAAAGCACUUUAAGUUGGGAGGAAGGGCAGUAAGUUAAUACCUUGCUGUUUUGACGUUACCGACAGAAUAAGCACCGGCUAACUUCGUGCCAGCAGCCGCGGUAAUACGAAGGGUGCAAGCGUUAAUCGGAAUUACUGGGCGUAAAGCGCGCGUAGGUGGUUUUGUAAGUUGAAGGUGAAAUCCCCGGGCUCAACCUGGGAACUGCCUCCAAAACUGCAUGACUAGAGUACAGUAGAGGGUAGUGGAAUUUCCUGCGUAGCGGUGAAAUGCGUAGAUAUAGGAAGGAACACCAGUGGCGAAGGCGACUACCUGGACUGAUACUGACACUGAGGUGCGAAAGCGUGGGGAGCAAACAGGAUUAGAAACCCCUGUAGUCC
This 450-nucleotide ribosomal RNA is filed under the name uncultured bacterium. Its description in RNAcentral is "partial 16S ribosomal RNA". It matches the Rfam family "Bacterial small subunit ribosomal RNA", at positions 354 to 796 of the family's 1533-position model. The record is from RNAcentral.